UGAGUUUCCUGUUUGUUUUUUUUACUCACUGACUCACCUACUAAUUUAUUUAGCUCCUGCAAAUAACCUACUCUGGAGAACCAUAAAGGUUUAAUGUUAGUCUUCUAAUAUUCCUAAGAUUGCAUAAAGAGGGAGGAUACACUAAUACAAAUGUCGAAACCAACAUUAGAAAAAUAAAUGAGUAAGAGCUACAGGUAUAGUAACAACAAUGGCAAAGUAUUAGUAAUGGUUACAACAAUAAGCAGUUCUUUAGCAGUUGUACAAGGAAGUGAAACAUUUCCUGGAAAAUGAAACAUAAAGGUGAGUGUCAUGGGUGUGGUGCACAUACUGAACUAUCUGUCUGACUGCUCAAACACGGUGAUCGUCGCUCUAGAAGGUUUUCUCGAAUUUGUUGAACCAUGGAAACCGGAACGAUCAGCGAAUCGGUAAAUGUCUUUAUUUUUCCUUUUUUUCUUUAAAAAAAAAGUACAUUGACUGAGUUAAAGCAAAUGAAAUUACUGCACUUAUAUAUGUAAAACCUACUAAUUUGGAAUUUCUUUUUUUUUUUUUUUUUUUUUAAAUAUAAGAACACACAAAAGAAAGCUUUCACAAAGAGGUAAGUAAAUGAGUUUUGUAGAAAUAUGAUCCUGCUAACCAAAUGUAAAAUGAAUCACUCUGCUCAGCCAUGUUGCCUCUAACUUUGACUACACUCCUAAUACAGACUUUAAAAGAAGUGAGUUAUUGGACUAUUCAGUGUGUGAUUUGCAGUACAUUUUGGAUUUGCCAAAUUACUGACAUCUGUUAUCUCUGAAAACAUUUUAGGAAAUGCAGUAAAAGUUACUUUCAACAAGAAUCAAAAAGAUUGAAGACUUAAGAUCAGCCGGUUUAUUAUUAAUCAAUUGCUUACUGGUAAAGGUAAUAAAAACAAAAAACUGGACAAUCUCUUUGUCCACAUUGAUGAGAUGCUUCAUAGCAUUUUCUUCCUCGGGUACAUUUAUAACCCCAAGUUGACUCCCAGUGAGUUCUUCAGAAAAUCUACAAUAGAUAAAUUGAAGGAAUUGUUUCCUGAGUCAUCACAAAAUCUUACACUUGAAUUGAAGGAUGAAUUGAUGGAAUUGUUUCCUGAGCCAUUUGAGAAGUACAAAAGUCAUCUGCCAACUCGCACACCCUUUUCCAUUCUGCUAAACAUGAUGGAGAUACUUCAUUGCACUGCAGAGAAAAUAAUAAAUCAGUUUCAGCUUCUGUUGAAGAAACUCUGAUUCCCAAACCCUCUUUACAAACCAGGCAGCAAAUACGAGCAGUAUUACACACGAGAGUCAACAGUAAUCUGUGUGUGUUAUUCAGAUUCUGAUUCACAGAAGUACUAUGGGGCAUCUCUUUCCU
Molecule: long non-coding RNA, 1362 nt
Organism: Ictalurus punctatus (channel catfish)
Lineage: Eukaryota; Metazoa; Chordata; Actinopteri; Siluriformes; Ictaluridae
Source: Ensembl